RNAcentral lists this ribosomal RNA (411 nucleotides) under uncultured bacterium. Its description in RNAcentral is "bacterial SSU rRNA". It matches the Rfam family "Bacterial small subunit ribosomal RNA", at positions 505 to 916 of the family's 1533-position model. The record is from RNAcentral.
GUGCCAGCCGCCGCGGUAAUACGUAGGGUGCAAGCGUUAAUCGGAAUUACUGGGCGUAAAGCGUGCGCAGGCGGUUUCGUAAGACAGAUGUGAAAGCCCCGGGCUCAACCUGGGAAGUGCAUUUGUGACUGCGAGACUAGAGUGUGUCAGAGGGAGGUAGAAUUCCACGUGUAGCAGUGAAAUGCGUAGAGAUGUGGAGGAAUACCGAUGGCGAAGGCAGCCUCCUGGGAUAACACUGACGCUCAUGCACGAAAGCGUGGGGAGCAAACAGGAUUAGAUACCCUGGUAGUCCACGCCCUAAACGAUGUCUACUAGUUGUCGGGGAUUCGUUUCCUUGGUAACGCAGCUAACGCGUGAAGUAGACCGCCUGGGGAGUACGGCCGCAAGGUUAAAACUCAAAGAAAUUGACGG